AGAGUUUGAUCCUGGCUCAGGAUGAACGCUGGCGGCGUGCCUAAUACAUGCAAGUCGAGCGAACCACUUCGGUGGUGAGCGGCGAACGGGUGAGUAACACGUAGGUGAUCUGCCCAUCAGACGGGGACAACGAUUGGAAACGAUCGCUAAUACCGGAUAGGACGAAAGUUUAAAGGUGCUUCUGGCACCGCUGAUGGAUGAGCCUGCGGCGCAUUAGCUAGUUGGUAGGGUAACGGCCUACCAAGGCGACGAUGCGUAGCCGACCUGAGAGGGUGAACGGCCACACUGGGACUGAGACACGGCCCAGACUCCUACGGGAGGCAGCAGUAGGGAAUCUUCGGCAAUGGGCGAAAGCCUGACCGAGCAACGCCGCGUGAAUGAUGAAGGCCUUCGGGUUGUAAAAUUCUGUUAUAAGGGAAGAACGACUUUAGUAGGAAAUGGCUAGAGUGUGACGGUACCUUAUGAGAAAGCCACGGCUAACUACGUGCCAGCAGCCGCGGUAAUACGUAGGUGGCGAGCGUUAUCCGGAAUUAUUGGGCGUAAAGAGCGCGCAGGUGGUUGAUUAAGUCUGAUGUGAAAGCCCACGGCUUAACCGUGGAGGGUCAUUGGAAACUGGUCGACUUGAGUGCAGAAGAGGGAAGUGGAAUUCCAUGUGUAGCGGUGAAAUGCGUAGAUAUAUGGAGGAACACCAGUGGCGAAGGCGGCUUCCUGGACUGUAACUGACACUGAGGCGCGAAAGCGUGGGGAGCAAACAGGAUUAGAUACCCUGGUAGUCCACGCCGUAAACGAUGAGUGCUAAGUGUUGGGGGUCGAACCUCAGUGCUGAAGUUAACGCAUUAAGCACU
RNAcentral lists this ribosomal RNA (845 nucleotides) under human gut metagenome. Its description in RNAcentral is "bacterial SSU rRNA". It matches the Rfam family "Bacterial small subunit ribosomal RNA", at positions 8 to 868 of the family's 1533-position model. The record is from RNAcentral.